This 407-nucleotide long non-coding RNA is filed under the name Phoenix dactylifera (date palm). RNAcentral describes it as "long non-coding RNA (PDAC_LNC014091)". Lineage: Eukaryota; Viridiplantae; Streptophyta; Magnoliopsida; Arecales; Arecaceae. The record is from RNAcentral.
AAUACAAGAAGUCACUUGGAUGUCUAUCCACUCGUCAGUGACUUGCUUGAUGUUGCAGUAGUGUGACUGGUCCUUUGACCUGUGGUGCUUCGGCUACUCACAGUGAGGUUAUUGUAGUUUGACUGCACACAUACAUGGUCUCUAGCCAUAUGGGUCCAUGCAGUGUAGAUUGGCUGCAGUAGGUUCACUGUAGGAGUAGGGUAUUCACCUAUAAGGAAUCUAUCGACCUUGAUAGAUAAGGAGAGAUCCUAUGUGAUUUAUAAGACUGAGUUCGUAAGACCUCGGCCGGGGCAGUAUGCACAGUGGAGAAAGAGUUUUCCACUCUCGAACUUAAGUCGAAUAAAUCUUCACAUAUGACAGACGAUGGGGUUUGACGAGUUGUCCAUAACCUCCGUCCUGUAGGAUCC